GUAGUCAUAUGCUUGUCUCAAAGAUUAAGCCAUGCAUGUCUAUGCACAAGCCGAUUAAUGGUGAAGCCGCGAAUGGCUCAUUACAACAGCCACUGUUUACUUGAUCUUGACUAUCCUACUUGGAUAACUGUGGUAAGUCUAGAGCUAAUAUACGCAAUAAAGCUCCGACCUUACGGGGCGAGCGCAUUUAUUAGACCAAAACCAAUCGGGCUCCGGCCUGAAACGUUGGUGACUCUGAAUAACUGAGCUGAUCGCAUGGUCUUUGUACCGGCGACGCAUCUUUCAAGUGUCUGCCUUAUCAACUUUCGAUGGUAGUUUAUGUGCCUACCAUGGUUGUUACGGGUAACGGAGAAUAAGGGUUCGACUCCGGAGAGGGAGCCUGAGAAACGGCUACCACAUCCAAGGAGGGCAGCAGGCGCGCAAAUUACCCACUCUCGGCACGAGGAGGUAGUGACGAAAAAUAACGAGGCGGUUCUCUAUGAGGCCCGCUAUCGGAAUGGGUACAAUUUAAACCCUUUAACGAGGACCUAUGAGAGGGCCAGUCUGGUGCCACAGCC
This 557-nucleotide ribosomal RNA is filed under the name uncultured eukaryote. RNAcentral describes it as "SSU rRNA". It matches the Rfam family "Eukaryotic small subunit ribosomal RNA", at positions 20 to 575 of the family's 1831-position model. The record is from RNAcentral.